This is a long non-coding RNA of Cavia porcellus (domestic guinea pig), 3746 nucleotides long. The record is from Ensembl. NCBI's taxonomy places the organism in Eukaryota, Metazoa, Chordata, Mammalia, Rodentia, Caviidae.
AACUUUUAUUUUUAGGAAUCAAAAGCCUUUGAUUCUUUCUCCUUUCUUUAGGUGCAUGCAUCAACAGGAAGACAGUGAAAAGGUCGUAGACAAGAAGAAACUUUACUAGACACACUUUAGAAUGUAGAAGUUUCAACUCACCAAUUUUAAUUUAGAUGUUCAGUAUUUAUAAGAAAUUAUUUCAAUACAAGCAUAAUGAAAUGAAGAUGGCCACUUAAUGGAGAAGAGAGUCAACAGAAAGGGGAAAGAAGAGAAAAGGGGCAGCCAGGCAAGAGGAGGGCAACAGACUCAGCUGAGAAGGGAGAAGAGCCCCUCACCGGGUCCCUGCAGGUCCUAAUGGCCAUAACUCCAUCCAGCUUGGAUGUUCCAUUCACUCAGAAGCUUAUCAAAGUCAUUCACCUAUCAAAAUUUCUUUGGUCAGAUCCUACUUGCAUGAAGAAACCUUCACCCUUUUUUCUUCUUCCAACCCGUUUUGCAGACCCUUCUGUCCUUAGCUCAACCUUUUCUUGCUUCCAUGAUAUGGGAGGAAGAGAAUGUGUCCUGCCAAGUGGCCUGUACAAACCAACCCACACUGGCUCUGGCUCAAAAUAUCUUCUCCUGGGCGGGUACCAAGAGGAAGAAGAAAGGAAAGAAUAAGAGAAAAUGAAAAGCAAAGCAAAACAAAACACCCAAAUAAUUUUUCAAAUGUUUAAUAAAUAUUUCCAAAGAUUUGUCAAAGACUUAACUUUAGAGAUUAAGCUCACAUUAUAAUUUAUAAUUGCAAAAGAAAAAUAGACCAAACCAACAAACAAAACAAAAUAAAACAAAACCAGAGGCUCCUGCCAUUGGCCUUCAGAGUAAAAGAAAAAUAAAGAAUUAAUUUUGUGUGGUGUUUUUAUUUUGAAUUUGGGUUUGCGUUUUUGAGAUAAGGUCUUGGUGUGUAGUUCAGGCUGGCCUUCAAUCACUGUGAUCCCCCUGGCUCAGCCUGCUGAGUGCUGGAAUUAAAGAUGUGUGGCACGACCAGCUCAGAGUAAAUAAUUAAGGAUGACAUUUAACAGAAAAGGCAUAUUGGCUUUGGAUUUAUAGUUGAAAAAAUCUGAUCGUCGGGGAUUGUUCCACCCAUUAGAAUGUAUCUAUUGUGAAUUGUUUCCUAUAGUCAGAGUUUCAGAGUUCAUAGGUUUAUAGCUUUUUUCAAGUGAUACUUAGAUACUCUGUGUUCUAAAUUUUUUUGGAUUAUUUUCUUGGUUGGUGAAACCUUUUCCUCUUUACUGUUGUUUCAGUCUUUGAUAAUGAGUUACACUAUGAAAUGCUGGGUUGACUAUGAAAUGUCAAAAACCUGUAUAUCUGGAGGAGGAGACAGCAUGCAUUUUGGUUUUUCAGAUAGAAUGUAGUUGUAGGUUCAAAAUCCAAAUGAUUGUAGAUUUAGGACUUUAUGCCUUAAACAAAUUAAUUGGUUGGGUAGUACCUUUUUAUGCUUUUUACUUUUCUCUUGAAUUCCAUAAAUAUUUUUUAACUUCUAGGAGGCAGAAAUGACUUGAAAAUAUGGUAUAGUCACUUUGUGAAUUAAUGAAAAAAUGUUAAUUUAAUUAUAAUGUAGAAAUUAUUCAAUUCUGGAAGGCAAAUUGGACUUUAUAUGUGAUGUGAUAAUGAAACUUUUCCAGUGGUAAUAAUAGUGACUACUACUAAUUAUCAAAAUUUAGUACAACAUAAUGUGUAUAAGAUUGUACCUUGAAUUAGCCUAAUUGUUUGAAGGGUUUUUGGCCUAUUAGCCUGGCUGUUAAUCUGUAUGUAGGAUAAUUAACUUGAUAAUUAACUUUAUAAGGAUUUAUAAGUAAAUGAAUCUGAUGAUGCAAAAUACAGGGAGGAGGGAAAGGGAAAAAAGAAUUGAAAGUGUUACGUGCAUAUUCCAAUUCACAACAAUGAUUGCAAUAAUUAUAUACUGCAAAUGUACUAAUAAAAAUUUGAAAAAGGAAAAAUUGUAACAGCAUCUUGAGGUGUACAUACAUAUGAAGGCAAAUUUCAGUGACUAAUACUAAAAGAUUAAUAUUCUCUCAUUUUGUUAAAUGUAGUGAGCACUGAAACUAAUUAUGUUGCCUCCAAUUAUACUGCCUGGAAUAAAAUAUCUAGUUUGGCUAAAAGUAUUAACUUUUUAAUUAAAAGAUCAGUUACAGUUACUAUCACUACAAAGCAGCUAGUUUUAAAAACUGUGAACUUACCAGGCUGCUUAAAUACGAAGAACUUUUUAAAACUUCUGAAAUGUAGUGUAUCAUUUAAUAAAUGUUUAUUACUUGUCUGCUCUGUGCCCAGCUAUUCAAAUUUAAAACACAAGGUCUGUAGCAUCAAGGAGCUGGUGGACAAGUAAGUAGGUUGAUGUGCAAAAGCUUUCAAUAAUAAGAUAAAUACACAGUGUACAUUGGUAACAAAGGGGAAGUGACUUAGCAUGCCUGAAACAAUCAGGAAAACCUGCAGAGAAAAUUAGAAUUUAUGCAAAAGCUUAAAGGUCAAACAGGAGUUUUCAUUGUAGAGAAAUGAAUGGUUUUCUUGUGCAGGGAAUUUCUUCUCUCCUUGAAGGAAAGGGAGUGUAUCAGUCAAGGUCAAGUCAGAAAAGCAAGAGCCAGGACUUUCAGUGGGAGAAAUUUAAUAAAAAAAUAAAAUUAAAAAGUAUUGGAACAGUAAAAGCAAAACCAGGGUGUGAGGUGAGAAAAACAUAAGAUUAACAACUGUAGGAGGUCACUAACAUCCCUAAGACUAGAUGAAUGAAAGGAAGAAAGUAUUAGCAAGCUCAAGAUGAUGGGAACCUUGUGGAAUCUGGGGACUGUGGAGGUCAUUCAGUCACUGCUGGAGACAUAGCUUGAGGCAGAGUUCGAGAACACAGAUGUUCCUGCAAGGCAGAUGGCAAGGGGGCCUGGGAAAUACUAUUUUGAGAGAGUAGUGUCUUGUAUGUAAAGCAAAGCAAAAGAAACAUAAAUAAUCCAAGAUUAAAGAGACAACUAGUCAACGUAAGGGAGCUUAGUGAACAGUAAAAAUAAAAUUAGGAGUUAUCUCUUUAAAACAAGACAAAUAGGCUUUAUUGGCCAUUUAAAAGAGUUUGGGUUUUACCCAACAGUCAUUUUAGAAAAUUUUCAAAUAAUUUUAAGCAGGAGAAAGCUAAGCUAAGUUUAAGUUAGAUGCUUUUGAAAACACUGGGGUAAGUAAAGUUAACAGGCAGAAAAAGACAUAGUGUGGGAUCUCCUGCACAGUGGAAAGUCUUCAACUGGCAUAAUGACAAGGAGGAUGGAGAGGGAGCCUAGAUUCUUUGAAAGGCCCAGGUGGUUAGGGAUGUGAAGGACAGGAAAGGCAGAUAGCAUAAAUUUUGGAGUCCACAGAAAGGAAAUCCAGGAUUUGGGCCUGGGAGGUGAAGGGGCCACGACAAUCCACAGGGUUUACAGUCAAUUUAGGAAGAAUGAAGUCUUUGGUUGCCACGUCUGCCACUAACUAUAAUUUUCCUGAGAAUGUAAGUAACUUCAAAGUCAGGUGCAUAAAAGACACAUGGAAUUAAGUAGCAAUGGUUAUUUUUCUGCUUCUGUCCCAUUCUGAUGAUAACUUAGGUUACAUCUUAAGUUUUUUGGGGGGACUUUAUCCUUUGGUUAUUCUUUUGAGUGCUUUUUCUUUGGUUUGGUUUAACACAGUGACUUAUGGUUAGAGCUGCUGCUUUGAAAAAAAUCAUUAAUUGUCCAACGCCUUCGUGGUAUAUUGUAUUAGAAGAAUAUUAAAUACUCAAAUUUAUU